GAUGAACGCUAGCGGCAGGCUUAAUACAUGCAAGUCGUGGGGCAGCAUGAGUAGCAAUACUUGAUGGCGAUCGGAAAAGGGGUGCGGAACACGUACACAACCUUCCGAUAAGUGGGGAGUAGCCCAGAGAAAUUUGGAUUAAUACCCCGUAAAAUAUAGAGUAGGCAGCUUCUUUAUAUUAUAGCUUCGCCGCUUAUUGAUGGGUGUGCGUCUGAUUAGGUAGUGGGCGGAGUAACGGCCCACCAAGCCUACGAUCAGUAGCUAAUGUGAGAGCAUGAUCAGCCACACGGGCACUGAGACACGGGCCCGACUCCUACGGGAGGCAGCAGUAAGGAAUAUUGGACAAUGGGCGAAAGCCUGAUCCAGCCAUGCCGCGUGAAGGAUUAAGGUCCUCUGGAUUGUAAACUUCUUUUAUUUGGGACGAAAAAAGGGAAUUCUUUCCCACUUGACGGUACCAAGUGAAUAAGCACCGGCUAACUCCGUGCCAGCCGCCGCCGUAA
This 500-nucleotide ribosomal RNA is filed under the name uncultured bacterium. Its description in RNAcentral is "partial 16S ribosomal RNA". It matches the Rfam family "Bacterial small subunit ribosomal RNA", at positions 28 to 523 of the family's 1533-position model. The record is from RNAcentral.